Molecule: ribosomal RNA, 253 nt
Filed under: uncultured bacterium
Lineage: Bacteria
Description: partial 16S ribosomal RNA
Rfam family: Bacterial small subunit ribosomal RNA
Source: RNAcentral
UACGGGAGGUGCAAGCGUUGUUCGGAAUGACUGGGCGUAAAGAGCACGUAGGCGGGUUUUCAAGUCAGAUGUGAAAUCCCCAGGCUUAACCUGGGAACUGCAUCUGAAACUGUUAAUCUUGAAUGCUUGAGAGGUUGGUGGAAUUCCAGGUGUAGGAGUGAAAUCCGUAGAGAUCUGGAGGAACACCGGAGGCGAAGGCGGCCAACUGGCGAUGCAUUGACGCUGAGGUGCGAAAGCGUGGGUAGCAAACAGG